RNAcentral lists this ribosomal RNA (468 nucleotides) under uncultured bacterium. RNAcentral describes it as "partial 16S ribosomal RNA". It matches the Rfam family "Bacterial small subunit ribosomal RNA", at positions 28 to 507 of the family's 1533-position model. The record is from RNAcentral.
GACGAACGCUGGCGGCGUGCUUAACACAUGCAAGUCGAACGGAAAGGCCCUGCUUUUGUGGGGUGCUCGAGUGGCGAACGGGUGAGUAACACGUGAGUAAUCUGCCCUUGACUUUGGGAUAACUUCAGGAAACUGGGGCUAAUAUCGGAUAGGAGCUCCUGCUGCAUGGUGGGGGUUGGAAAGUUUCGGCGGUUGGGGAUGGACUCGCGGCUUAUCAGCUUGUUGGUGGGGUAGUGGCUUACCAAGGCUUUGACGGGUAGCCGGCCUGAGAGGGUGACCGGCCACAUUGGGACUGAGAUACGGCCCAGACUCCUACGGGAGGCAGCAGUGGGGAAUAUUGCACAAUGGGCGGAAGCCUGAUGCAGCAACGCCGCGUGCGGGAUGACGGCCUUCGGGUUGUAAACCGCUUUCGCCUGUGACGAAGCGUGAGUGACGGUAAUGGGUAAAGAAGCACCGGCUAACUACGUG